GACGAACGCUGGCGGCGUGCCUAAUACAUGCAAGUCGACCUUAGUGGCGAACGGGUGAGUAACACGUGGGUAACCCGCCCAUCAGAAAGGGAUAACACUUGGAAACAGGUGCUAAUACCGUAUACUGAUGGAUGGACCCUCGGUGCAUUAGCUAGUUGGUGAGGUAACGGCUCACCAAGGCCACGAUGCAUAGCCGACCUGAGGGGGUGAUCGGCAACAUUGGUACUGGGACACGGCCCUAACUCCUACGGGAGGCAGAAGUGGGAAAUCUUCGGCAAUGGACGAAGGUCUGACCGAGCAACGCCGCGUGAGUGAAGAAGGUUUUCGGAUCGUAAAACUCUGUUGUUAGAGAAGCGGUAUCUAACCAGAAAGCCACGGCUAACUACGUGCCAGCAGCCGCGGUAAUAC
This 408-nucleotide ribosomal RNA is filed under the name uncultured bacterium. RNAcentral's name for it is "partial 16S ribosomal RNA". It matches the Rfam family "Bacterial small subunit ribosomal RNA", at positions 28 to 526 of the family's 1533-position model. The record is from RNAcentral.